RNAcentral lists this ribosomal RNA (643 nucleotides) under Allobosea sp. I12B-01860. Its description in RNAcentral is "bacterial SSU rRNA". It matches the Rfam family "Bacterial small subunit ribosomal RNA", at positions 21 to 714 of the family's 1533-position model. Lineage: Bacteria; Pseudomonadati; Pseudomonadota; Alphaproteobacteria; Hyphomicrobiales; Alloboseaceae. The record is from RNAcentral.
GGCUCAGAGCGAACGCUGGCGGCAGGCUUAACACAUGCAAGUCGAACGGGCACUUCGGUGCUAGUGGCAGACGGGUGAGUAACACGUGGGAACGUACCUUUCGGUUCGGAAUAAUACAGGGAAACUUGUACUAAUACCGGAUACGCCCUUUUGGGGAAAGAUUUAUCGCCGAUUGAUCGGCCCGCGUCUGAUUAGCUAGUUGGUGAGGUAAUGGCUCACCAAGGCGACGAUCAGUAGCUGGUCUGAGAGGAUGAUCAGCCACACUGGGACUGAGACACGGCCCAGACUCCUACGGGAGGCAGCAGUGGGGAAUAUUGGACAAUGGGCGCAAUGAUCCAGCCAUGCCGCGUGAGUGAUGAAGGCCUUAGGGUUGUAAAGCUCUUUUGUCCGGGAAGAUAAUGACUGUACCGGAAGAAUAAGCCCCGGCUAACUUCGUGCCAGCAGCCGCGGUAAUACGAAGGGGGCUAGCGUUGCUCGGAAUCACUGGGCGUAAAGGGCGCGUAGCGGACUCUUAAGUCGGGGGUGAAAGCCCAGGGCUCAACCCUGGAAUUGCCUUCGAUACUGAGAGUCUUGAGUUCGGAAGAGGUUGGUGGAACUGCGAGUGUAGAGGUGAAAUUCGUAGAUAUUCGCAAGAACACCAGUG